This 497-nucleotide ribosomal RNA is filed under the name uncultured bacterium. RNAcentral describes it as "partial 16S ribosomal RNA". It matches the Rfam family "Bacterial small subunit ribosomal RNA", at positions 28 to 507 of the family's 1533-position model. The record is from RNAcentral.
GACGAACGCUGGCGGCGUGCCUAAUACAUGCAAGUCGAACGCUGAAACUUGGUGCUUGCUCCGCGCGGAUGAGUUGCGAACGGGUGAGUAACGCGUAGGUAACCUGCCUGUUAGCGGGGGAUAACUAUUGGAAACGAUAGCUAAUACCGCAUAAGAGUAGAUGUUGCAUGACAUUUUCGUAAAAGGUGCAAUUGCACCACUACCAGAUGGACCUGCGUUGUAUUAGCUAGUUGGUGGGGUAACGGCACACCAAGGCGACGAUACAUAGCCGACCUGAGAGGGUGAUCCGCCACACUGGGACUGGGACACGGCCCAGACUCCUACGGGAGGCAGCAGGAGGGGAUCUUCGGCAAUGGGCGGAAGGCUGACCGAGCAACGCCGCGUGAGUGAAGAAGGGUUUCGGAUCGUAAAGAUCUGUUGUAAGGGAAGAAAGAGUGUGGGAGUGGAAAGUUCACGCUGUGACGGUAUCUUACCAGAAAGGGACGGCUAACUACGUG